UACGUAGGGUGCAAGCAUUAAUCGGAAUUAUUGGGCGUAAAGGGCGUGUAGGCGGUAAUGUAAGUCAGAUGUGAAAUUCCAAAGCUCAACUUUGGAGCUGCAUUUGAAACUAUAAUACUAAGAGGGAUGGCGGAGAAAGCGGAAUUCCACGUGUAGCGGUGAAAUGCGUAGAUAUGUGGAAGAACACCUGUGGCGAAAGCGGCUUUCUAGCUAUCACCUGACGCUGAGACGCGAGAGCAAGGGGAGCAAACAGG
RNAcentral lists this ribosomal RNA (254 nucleotides) under uncultured prokaryote. RNAcentral describes it as "partial 16S ribosomal RNA". It matches the Rfam family "Bacterial small subunit ribosomal RNA", at positions 524 to 776 of the family's 1533-position model. The record is from RNAcentral.